This is a non-coding RNA of Gossypium hirsutum (cotton), 116 nucleotides long. The record is from Rfam. Lineage: Eukaryota; Viridiplantae; Streptophyta; Magnoliopsida; Malvales; Malvaceae.
ACCUGCUCUACCAGCAUUAAUGCCCCAGAUACCAUCAGAACUCCGCAGUUAAGUGGGCUUGGGCGAGAGUAGUAUUAGGAUGGGUGACCUCUUGGGAAGUCCUCGUGUUGCACCUU